Araneus ventricosus is the source of this 72-nucleotide non-coding RNA. The record is from the annotation of a GenBank genome assembly. NCBI's taxonomy places the organism in Eukaryota, Metazoa, Arthropoda, Arachnida, Araneae, Araneidae.
CGCUCGAUGGUCAAGUCGUAUGAUUCUCGCUUCGGCUGUGAGAGGUACCGGGUUCAAAUCCCGGUCGAGCAA